CAGGCCAUCGUACAUGACUUUGAGGUUUCCUGUGUCUGAGGCUGUUUGUAUCUCUUCUCAGAGGUUGAUCCAGUAAUGAUUUGCACAGUGUCUGCUUGCUCGCUGUACCUUGGUUUUUGCAUGUUGAAGUCUCACUUUGGUGCUCUUUGUUGGCUUUUUGUUGUGUUCCGGAAAGGCUGUGUUCUUAAUAUUGAUGAGAGGUAAUAGUUCCACUUCAUUUUCUUCAAACCAGUCCUUUUUUGAUGGUCUCUUUCCCCAAAAUGUAGCUAGGCUGUUUCAUGGAUUGUUGUUCUUAAAUCUUCCCAAAAUUCCUCUGCCUUCUCUGGUAAUGACUUCCCAUGCAUGCUAAGUUCAAAAGCCUUCACAAACUCCUGGCAUUUCCUCUGGUUUUCAGUGUUAAUAGCAUUGAUUUUGGGCUUGCUCCUAGGUUUUGUUCUAGGUUUUGUAGUUUCUUGGCGUGAUGCUGGUAGACCAGGCACUAGUUGUUAUGUCAGCUGAGCACUGACAAAUUCAUAGCUAGGAACCAGACCAGCUCACCUAUAUGUUACUAUUGUUUGAGUUAGGUGUUAGACUUGUAAAGGUGUGUUUAGUGUUUAGACUCUAUAAAGUGCUUGUAAGUUGCUGUAUGCAUUAAUCUUACCUGUAAUGUCUGUAUCCCCUGCUAGAAGGUAAUAAUGAAAGUUUUGUUUAUAAUUGUAAAAAUGCCUGCUCUGAACUUGUGAACUCAGACUGCAGGACCAUCAAGCAGGACUAUCAAAAGUAAAUGGGCCAUUGUAGGACAAAAACUUUGUUGAUUGCCCCACUAAUUACACACAGGAGUUUGAACUCUGGGGGAAGGGCAUAUUAAGAUGCUCACAAGAAGAAAUAGUUCUCUCUUUUCUGUUUGGACUUUCACAAGGGCUGGAGCUAAGAAACAAAAGCAGAGAUUGCAAGGGCCACCAUGGUGGACGAUAGGAUUGGCUACCAGCAUGGUCUUUGGUGCGAGAUCUAAGGUACAAAUUGAUCUGGGUCUUUUAGGGCUGGUUGUGAAGAAUCGAGUUAGCUGGCCGGAUGAUGAUGACCACCUUGACUUCAUGGGACUGCAUAGCUGUCCUCCUGACAGUGGAGAGAUUGUGGUAGAUGUGAUGUGCCAAAGGCACCACUGUAGUUCCCAACCAUGAUGACUACGUUAAAGAGGCCGACUGACAACUCUCCAACACCAUCUACUAUAAAGAACUCAAAGACCAUCCCACAGCACAAUUUACAUUUGUGUGUGAAGAUAUCACCAAAUCUUUUCCUAAAGAAAUCCAAAAGAAACUCUACAAACUUCAUCCCCCAGGACCACACCCCAGGGACCUGCUAAUGCUUGCCGAGAUAUACAAACAUCAUAUCUGGCCCUGGCACUCUUACUGAAGGAAUCUCAGGACUCAUCAGAUCAUCCUCAAACCACUCACCACACAAAGGGCCAGCUUCCUCCAGAACACAACUGACUUCCUCCAGAACCUCUGCAACAUUAACAGUCUCCCUCCAAAUACCAUCAUUGCCACCAUGGAUGUCACUUCCCUACACAGCAACUUCCCUCGCAAUGACGACAUGCAUCACUGCCUCCUUCAAAUAUCUACAAACAAUGGACAACACUCAGCUAUCCACCCCAAACACGUCACUAAACCCAUCCAUUUCAUCCUCACCCAUAACAAUUUCACAUUCAACAACAAAUACUGUGUCCAAACCAUGGGAACAGCCAUGGGUACUAGGAUGGCUCCCCAAAAGGGUCACCUUGAGGAAGAAUUUCUGAAAACACCAUGAACCCUGUGAUAUACCUAAGAUACAUCAAUGCUAUUUUCAUCCUUUGGACAGAUGACCUAACUCCUUCAGGUUUCCACCACAACUUUAACAACCACCACCCAUCCAUCCAACACUCUCUCAAACACUCCUGCAUCAACAUCAACUUCCUGGACACUACAAUCAGCUUCAACAAUGGAACUCUACAGACAACUGUAUACAAGAACCUCAUGGACCACCAUGCCUACCUUCAAAGAUCCAGUAACCACCCCAAGAAAUCUGUCAUCUACAGCCAUGCCCUCAGAUACCACAGAAUAUGCUCCUAGGAGGAAGUCCAGGAUACAGAUCUUAGCACACUUAAAAUUGCCUUCACCAUAUAAGGACACUCCACAAGACAAGUAGAUCGCUUCAAGAAUGGGCCACUCAAAUACCGCAAAAGAACCUGCUUCAAUACAGAAAAGAACAACAACAACUUUUGAUCAAACACACGCACACACACACGCACACACCUAGUUAUCACCUUCCACCCCACACUGGAACCCAGAUGGUAUAUUAUUAAAUAAUUACAACCCAUAUUCGACUGGGACCACAUCCUGAAAUCAAUCUUUCCCAUCUCCUCUUCUGGCCUUCAAACAUCCCCCCAACCUCAACAAUCUCAUCAUCAGAAGGAAGCUCCCCACAGACCAGGACCCACCAACUCAGAGCAGCACCAGAGCCUGCCAUAACAACAGAUGCAAAACCUGCAGACAUCUCUCCAUUGCUAUAAUGAUCAAAACCCCCCUCAAAACACCUUUCACGAUCUAUAGGUCCUACAUAUGCCUAUCACAACGUGUGGUAUACCUCAUCCAGUGGAUUAAAUGCCCUAAUAACAACUACGUGGGUGAAACUAGACAGUCACACAGAAAAAUGAUAAAACACAAAAACACUGCACCACUUUUGAGGGAACACUUGUCACAAAGCAGUCACUUUAUAUCUGACCUCUCAGUCCUUGGCCUCAAAGGAAACCUUCACAGCAUGAGACUCGGAGCUUAAAAUCAUAACUGUGCUAGACACUAAAAGUUCUUUUUGCUGAUACAGACUAACAUAGCUACCACUCUGAAAUUAAAAAUCAUGGUCUUAAUAAAGACGGCUUAUUAUAACAAUCUGUAAACCUUUUACCCUCCCCUUUUUUUGUUCUAUGCCUGCAAAGGUUUUAAUGGUCCACUCUGAAUCCUCUUUCACAAUAUGUGUUAACUCCUUAUGCUAAACAAUCUGUUUCACUUUGUAUUUAGCUGGGACACUUGGAGUGCCUUUCCCAGACCUGAAGAAAAGCUCUGUGUAGCUCAAAAGCUUGCCUCAUUCUCCAACAGUAUUUGGUUCCAUAAAAGAUAUUACCUGAUGUACCUUGUCUCUCUAAUUUUGACACUGUCCCUUUUAUAAUAAAUUGUGCAAUUACC
Molecule: non-coding RNA, 3197 nt
Organism: Caretta caretta (loggerhead turtle)
Lineage: Eukaryota; Metazoa; Chordata; Testudines; Cheloniidae
Source: RefSeq, a predicted model, not a curated record